UGUUGCAGGAAAGGCUAACCGGUGGUUUGGGGUUGCUCCCCCUAAAUCUGGAAAAAUGAACAUGAACAUCCUUCACCAGGAAGAGCUCAUCGCUCAGAAGAAACGGGAAAUUGAAGCCAAAAUGGAACAGAAAGCCAAGCAGAAUCAGGUGGCCAGCCCUCAGCCCCCACAUCCUGGCGAAAUCACAAAUGCACACAACUCUUCCUGCAUUUCCAACAAGUUUGCCAACGAUGGUAGCUUCUUGCAGCAGUUUCUGAAGUUGCAGAAGGCACAGACCAGCACAGACGCCCCAACCAGUGCGCCCAGCGCCCCUCCCAGCACACCCACCCCCAGCGCUGGGAAGAGGUCCCUGCUCAUCAGCAGGCGGACAGGCCUGGGGCUGGCCAGCCUGCCGGGCCCUGUGAAGAGCUACUCCCACGCCAAGCAGCUGCCCGUGGCGCACCGCCCGAGUGUCUUCCAGUCCCCUGACGAGGACGAGGAGGAGGACUAUGAGCAGUGGCUGGAGAUCAAAGGUAAGUUGUGGGAGCUGCUGCUCCCCCACCACCAGUGCCCGUGCUCUAGCAGGUGGGAUCUGUGGUGGGCAGGGCAAGUGCUACCAGGGGCGUGGGUGCUUUGGGCUGAGUUGCAGCCACCAGACCUCCGAGCUGAGCCUCAGGCCCUCUGAGGUGAGGAGAGCAAAGGAGGGUGAGGGGCGGGGCUGGGGUGUUGCUGGGCA
RNAcentral lists this small RNA (715 nucleotides) under Pan troglodytes (chimpanzee). RNAcentral's name for it is "retained intron". Lineage: Eukaryota; Metazoa; Chordata; Mammalia; Primates; Hominidae. The record is from RNAcentral.